Molecule: ribosomal RNA, 468 nt
Filed under: uncultured bacterium
Lineage: Bacteria
Description: partial 16S ribosomal RNA
Rfam family: Bacterial small subunit ribosomal RNA
Source: RNAcentral
GACGAACGCUGGCGGCGUGCUUAACACAUGCAAGUCGAACGGAAAGGCCCUGCGUUUGUGGGGUGCUCGAUUGGCGAACGGGUGAGUAACACGUGAGGAACCUGCCCUUGACUUUGGGAUAACUUCAGGAAACUCGGGCGAAUACCGGAUAGGAGCUCCUGCUGCAUAUUGGGGGUUGGAAAGUUUCGGCGGUUGGGGAUGGACUCGCAGGUUAUCAGCUUGUUGGUGUGGUAGUGGCGUACGAAGGCUUUGACGGGUAGGCGGCCUGAGAGGGUGACCGGCCACAUUGGGCCUGAGAUACGGCCCAGACGCCUACGGGAGGCAGCAGUGGGGAAUAUUGCAGAGUGGGCGGAAGCCUGAGGCAGCAACGCCGCGUGCGGGAUGACGGCCUUCGGGUUGUAAACCGCUUUCGCAUGUGACGAAGAGUGAGUGACGGUAAUGGGUAAAGAAGCACCGGCUAACUACGUG